CAGGAAACUGCAGACGAGCCACAGGGCCUCCCGGUCAGUGUUACAUGGGGCUACUGCUCCUGUAAACAAUGGCCGCCCACUUUUCCCUCCUGUCCGGCACUUGUCUUUUCAGCAUAACCCAGAUGGCAAACGUGCGUGCUCUCUCAGUGCUGUGGACACAGAGCUGCCUCGCAUAUCACCACUCAGCCCAUCCAGAACAACACAGCACAUGCUGCCCCCUGCAGGCUGGCUACACAAACCACACAUGACUGACCCCUCCAUCAGAGACAUGCAACUCCAACCACUCCUAAAAAACAUACAAAGCAACAUGGAUUCCUCUAAGUCCUUACAACAGAGGCCAGCUGGCUACCUGACUGAUAUCCAGUGUAACCGUGGUGACCUCCAUCCACACUCAUCACAGGGACUGAAGAGAAACUCAGGCACUGAACAUCUGAAGGGACUUCAAAAUGGCAGCUUCCCGGUUGUUAGGCACCUCCUACCACAAACCCACUACCGGAGGUCUCGCUCCAAUACUACACAGGAUUCAUGUGGUGGAUACAGCUGUUUCAACGUGGUGAAACCUUACCAGGCUGGAUACUACAUAAUUCAUCCAGAAUUUGUGUCUGAGUGCCUAUGCUGAAAGUUUAACCACAUGUUCAAUAAACUGUACUGGAUUUAUCAGAGAUCUUCUGCAGUGUUUUGAUCUUGA
RNA transcript from Coregonus clupeaformis (lake whitefish), 688 nucleotides. RefSeq lists it as uncharacterized. The transcript is spliced from 5 exons. NCBI's taxonomy places the organism in Eukaryota, Metazoa, Chordata, Actinopteri, Salmoniformes, Salmonidae. The record is from RefSeq and is a predicted model, not a curated record.